RNAcentral lists this ribosomal RNA (425 nucleotides) under uncultured bacterium. RNAcentral describes it as "bacterial SSU rRNA". It matches the Rfam family "Bacterial small subunit ribosomal RNA", at positions 9 to 436 of the family's 1533-position model. The record is from RNAcentral.
GAGUUGUAUCCUGGCUCAGAUUGAACGCGUGGCGGCAGGCCUAACACAUGCAAGUCGAGCGGUAGAGAGAAGCUUGCUUCUCUUGAGAGCGGCGGACGGGUGAGUAAUGCCUAGGAAUCUGCCUGGUAGUGGGGGAUAACGCUCGGAAACGGACGCUAAUACCGCAUACGUCCUACGGGAGAAAGCAGGGGACCUUCGGGCCUUGCGCUAUCAGAUGAGCCUAGGUCGGAUUAGCUAGUUGGUGAGGUAAUGGCUCACCAAGGCGACGAUCCGUAACUGGUCUGAGAGGAUGAUCAGUCACACUGGAACUGAGACACGGUCCAGACUCUACGGGAGGCAGCAGUGGGGAAUAUUGGACAAUGGGCGAAAGCCUGAUCCAGCCAUGCCGCGUGUGUGAAGAAGGUCUUCGGAUUGUAAAGCACUUU